CUCGUAGGCGGUUCGUCGCGUCCGGUGUGAAAGUCCAUCGCUUAACGGUGGAUCCGCGCCGGGUACGGGCGGGCUUGAGUGCGGUAGGGGAGACUGGAAUUCCCGGUGUAACGGUGGAAUGUGUAGAUAUCGGGAAGAACACCAAAUGGCGAAGGCAGGUCUCUGGGCCGUCACUGACGCUGAGGAGCGAAAGCGUGGGGAGCGAACA
Molecule: ribosomal RNA, 208 nt
Filed under: uncultured bacterium
Lineage: Bacteria
Description: partial 16S ribosomal RNA
Rfam family: Bacterial small subunit ribosomal RNA
Source: RNAcentral